RNAcentral lists this transfer RNA (72 nucleotides) under Marmota monax (woodchuck). Its description in RNAcentral is "tRNA.Ala". Lineage: Eukaryota; Metazoa; Chordata; Mammalia; Rodentia; Sciuridae. The record is from RNAcentral.
GGAGGUAUAGUUCAAUGGUAGAGCACUUGUCUAGCAUAUUCAAGGCCCUGAGUUCCAUACUCAAUAUCCUUG